RNAcentral lists this ribosomal RNA (497 nucleotides) under uncultured bacterium. RNAcentral describes it as "partial 16S ribosomal RNA". It matches the Rfam family "Bacterial small subunit ribosomal RNA", at positions 28 to 507 of the family's 1533-position model. The record is from RNAcentral.
GAUGAACGCUGGCGGCGUGCCUAAUACAUGCAAGCCGAGCGAACGGACGAGAAGCUUGCUUCUCUGAUGUUAGCGGCGGACGGGUGAGUAACACGUGGAUAACCUACCUAUAAGACUGGGGUAACUUCGGGAAACCGUAGCUAAUACCGGAUAAUAUUUUGAACCGCAUGGUUCAAAAGUGAAAGACGGUCUUGCCGUCACUUAUAGAUGGAUCCGCGCUGCAUUAGCUAGUUGGUAAGGUAACGGCUUACCAAGGCAACGAUGCAUAGCCGACCUGAGAGGGUGAUCGGCCACACUGGAACUGAGACACGGUCCAGACUCCUACGGGAGGCAGCAGUAGGGAAUCUUCCGCAAUGGGCGAAAGCCUGACGGAGCAACGCCGCGUGAGUGAUGAAGGUCUUCGGAUCGUAAAACUCUGUUAUUAGGGAAGAACAUAUGUGUAAGUAACUGUGCACAUCUUGACGGUACCUAAUCAGAAAGCCACGGCUAACUACGUG